UGGCACCUACGGGAGGCAGCAGUGAGGAAUAUUGGUCAAUGGUCGGGAGACUGAACCAGCCAAGCCGCGUGAGGGAUGAAGGUACAGAGUAUCGUAAACCUCUUUUGUCAGGGAACAAAGGCGGGGACGCGUCCCCGGAUGAGUGUACCUGAAGAAAAAGCAUCGGCUAACUCCGUGCCAGCAGCCGCGGUAAUACGGAGGAUGCGAGCGUUAUCCGGAUUUAUUGGGUUUAAAGGGUGCGCAGGCGGUCUGUUCAGUCAGCGGUCAAAGCCCGGGGCUCAACCCCCGCCCGCCGUUGCA
RNAcentral lists this ribosomal RNA (300 nucleotides) under uncultured bacterium. Its description in RNAcentral is "bacterial SSU rRNA". It matches the Rfam family "Bacterial small subunit ribosomal RNA", at positions 333 to 631 of the family's 1533-position model. The record is from RNAcentral.